RNAcentral lists this ribosomal RNA (440 nucleotides) under uncultured bacterium. Its description in RNAcentral is "partial 16S ribosomal RNA". It matches the Rfam family "Bacterial small subunit ribosomal RNA", at positions 338 to 795 of the family's 1533-position model. The record is from RNAcentral.
CCUACGGGUGGCAGCAGUGGGGAAUAUUGCACAAUGGGGGAAACCCUGAUGCAGCGACGCCGCGUGAGUGAAGAAGUAAUUCGUUAUGUAAAGCUCUAUCAGCAGGGAAGAAAAUGACGGUACCUGAGUAAGAAGCCCCGGCUAACUACGUGCCAGCAGCCGCGGUAAUACGUAGGGGGCAAGCGUUAUCCGGAUUUACUGGGUGUAAAGGGAGCGUAGACGGAAGUGCAAGUCUGGGGUGAAAGGCGGGGGCUCAACCCCGGGGCUGCUGAUGAAACUGUACGGCUGGAGAUCGGGAUGGGAAAGUGGAAUGCGUAGGGUAGCGGUGAAAUGCAGAGAUAGUAGACAGAACACCGGUGGCGAAGGGGGCUUGCUAGGCUGUAUCUGACGUUGAGGCUCGAAAGCGUGGGGAUCGAACAGGAUUAGAUACCCUUGUAGUC